This is a microRNA precursor of Cricetulus griseus (Chinese hamster), 90 nucleotides long. Ensembl annotates it as microRNA mir-200a. Its record names the gene Mir200a. Lineage: Eukaryota; Metazoa; Chordata; Mammalia; Rodentia; Cricetidae. The record is from Ensembl.
CUGGGCCUCUGUGGGCAUCUUACCGGACAGUGCUGGAUUUCUUGACUUGACUCUAACACUGUCUGGUAACGAUGUUCAAAGGUGACCCAC